CCUACGGGCGGCAGCAGUGGGGAAUUUUGGACAAUGGGCGCAAGCCUGAUCCAGCCAUGCCGCGUGUGGGAAGAAGGCCUUCGGGUUGUAAACCACUUUUGUGGAACGCUCGGUACCUGAAGAAUAAGCACCGGCUAACUACGUGCCAGCAGCCGCGGUAAUACGUAGGGUGCGAGCGUUAAUCGGAAUUACUGGGCGUAAAGCGUGCGCAGGCGGUUAUGCAAGACAGAUGUGAAAUCCCCGGGCUCAACCUGGGAACUGCAUUUGUGACUGCAUAGCUGGAGUGCGGCAGAGGGGGAUGGAAUUCCGCGUGUAGCAGUGAAAUGCGUAGAUAUGCGGAGGAACACCGAUGGCGAAGGCAAUCCCCUGGGCCUGACUGACGCUCAUGCACGAAAGCGUGGGGAGCAAACAGGAUUAGAUACCCUAGUAGUC
RNAcentral lists this ribosomal RNA (432 nucleotides) under uncultured bacterium. Its description in RNAcentral is "partial 16S ribosomal RNA". It matches the Rfam family "Bacterial small subunit ribosomal RNA", at positions 338 to 795 of the family's 1533-position model. The record is from RNAcentral.